Molecule: ribosomal RNA, 402 nt
Filed under: uncultured bacterium
Lineage: Bacteria
Description: bacterial SSU rRNA
Rfam family: Bacterial small subunit ribosomal RNA
Source: RNAcentral
UCGGGAAUUUUGGGCAAUGGGCGAAAGCCUGACCCAGCAACGCCGCGUGAGGGAUGAAGUAUUUCGGUAUGUAAACCUCGAAAGAAUGGGAAGAAUAAAUGACGGUACCAUUUAUAAGCUCCGGCUAACUACGUGCCAGCAGCCGCGGUAAUACGUAGGGAGCAAGCGUUGUUCGGAUUUACUGGGCGUAAAGGGCGCGUAGGCGGCGCGGUAAGUCACUUGUGAAAUCUCUGAGCUUAACUCAGAACGGCCAAGUGAUACUGCUGUGCUAGAUUGCGGAAGAGGCAACCGGAAUUCUUGGUGUAGCGGUGAAAUGCGUAGAUAUCAAGAGGAACACCUGAGGCGAAGGCGGGUUGCUGGGCCGACACUGACGCUGAUGCGCGAAAGCCAGGGGAGCAAACG